This is a long non-coding RNA of Erinaceus europaeus (western European hedgehog), 1174 nucleotides long. RefSeq lists it as uncharacterized. The record is from RefSeq and is a predicted model, not a curated record. The transcript has 3 exons. NCBI's taxonomy places the organism in Eukaryota, Metazoa, Chordata, Mammalia, Eulipotyphla, Erinaceidae.
UCUGCCUUUAGAAACUAUGUACUUCAUCUACUCUAGUGAAAAGAAAGUAAAUCUCAAAUUUAAAAUCCUUGAAGGAAGGAAAUUGUGUAAUUUUUCUCAAUAGACCAUUAGGAUGCAAAGUCAUUAAUCUCUAGGAGAUUUACCCUAUAGCUUCUCUCCACACCUCCUGCUUUUUAAAUGCAUUUUACAGGCUCCAGAUAUCUUGCCAACACUAGUUUAUGGUCUACUAUGUAUCCAAUUGUUGUCAACCUCUGUUACAAGAAAGCCCUGGAGUCCUAAGCCAGCCUUGUAUGCAAUGAAUUCGCUUCACUUUAUGUUAUCUAGAAUGGGACUAGUGACGUAACAUCCAUGGAGAAACUGCACACUGGCUUGCAAUCAUUGUGGGCAGGCGAUCAGCUGGAGCCCCUCAACUGGAACUAUCAAAAGGCAGGUUGUUAUGUUUUAUUAUGAAAUUAAAAGCUAUAUGGAGUUCCAUUUUUAUAUCUGGAGGGUCAGGAUAUAUCUUGUUGUUGUUUUUUUCCACCUGACAUGCAUGACUUACGGAGUGGGUACAACUAUAGAUCUUGUGCCAUGGGUGGUUUUUCCAGAAGAGGGGAUGAAUUCACACCAUGGAGCCAUCUUUUCUUUGCCAAUCAAGUGAACUAACUAGGCAAGUAACACAAUGGAAUAAGAAACAGUUCACCUCCAAAAUUAUCGAUUUACCAUAGGAUACUGGAAAAUGCACACACAGGUAUGUGUACACACACGCGCGCACACACACACACACACACACACACACACACACACGCACUGAGAGGCACACAUUCAGACUGGAGAAGUUCUCAGUUCUGGUGUCUGUAGCCAGGGACUGAACCUAGGACCUCAUUUAUAUAUGUCCCGUGUGCUUGCUUUCUCCCACUGAGGUAUUUUCCUGGUCCCUUAAAUCUUUUCUUUUUUGUGUGACCUACAAGGAAAUGUUGGAUUCUCCAACAGGAGAUCCUGAGUUCAGCCUCAUAUGUAAGAGUGGCACUCUGGUUCCACCCCCCCUUUAUUUUUUUUAGAAAACAAAUCUUGAAAAGAAAUUGAAAACCAGUAUUUCAGAUCAUUGAAAGUCUGUUAAAUUAGACUCAUUGAGAAACGCAAUUCACAAGUGGCAAUUAAUUUUUAGAUACAGCCUUUUGUGUAUUUCUCAGAC